Long non-coding RNA from Crotalus tigris (Tiger rattlesnake), 1133 nucleotides. RefSeq lists it as uncharacterized. The record is from RefSeq and is a predicted model, not a curated record. The transcript is spliced from 3 exons. NCBI's taxonomy places the organism in Eukaryota, Metazoa, Chordata, Lepidosauria, Squamata, Viperidae.
GGCUCAACUAAAUACUGGAUCUUUAUAACUCUUCUCAGGAUAAGGAGAGGAUUUGAGACAAUCCAUAGGUGCUCCAUACAGUUGCAGUCUAUGGCAGGUUUAGAGCCCUGCAAGGGAAGGAGAAACAACGAGCAUACAACUGCAGAAAUGGCUGACUCCAUCUUUGGGCAAAGGCACCAACUUUGGUAACCUCAUUUUCAUAGCAUUGCAAAAGGACCACGAUUUCCAGUUCGAAUCAAAUCAGGACUGAUUCACACAUCCCUACUCAUAAGAGACAACCAGAAAACUCUAAAACCGAAGGUUUCAUGGGGAAGUUGUAGAAACAUCCUGGACAAAAAUAAGCUACUACCAUAUUGUGCUAAGAAUAAUACAUGAAUUGGUUGAUGAACCCAAUAGGAGUCAAGGUUUACUUUUUGUCAUGAUUUGUCAUGAUUUCCAGAAAUCUUAAAUUCAAAUGGAGAUUUGGUUACUAUCUGCAGUCUGUUGCCUUGAUAUAUGCCCAUAGUCAUAUUGGGACUUCAGGUAGGGAACAAAAAAACCCAAGGAAAACCUAUUGAGAAUCUAGAAUUUUAAGUUACCCUGGAAAUAAGAAUUUGGAUUGGCACUACCUUUGAGGAAUGUCUUUCAUCUCGCAGGCAUCUAGAACAGCUUGACCAAAAUCAAGUGCAAAACCCCAUUUGCGGGAUGUAGGCAGCACGUGAAACCACUCUGGUCCACGGAAAAAACUCUCUCCAUGGAACUGGUCCCUGGUGCCCAAAAGGUUGGAGGUCUCUGAUAUAAACUGAGUAAAAGAGAAAGAAUGAUUUUUAAAGAAUGAUGAUAUCUGGUUGUUUUCCUUCCCAUACAGAUUCUCACUGCGUAAGAUGCCAAAUAAGAGACAUACAUAGUUCAGACUGGUAAAAUAUUCAUCAGGAUAAUAAGUCAGGCUUGGAUCCAGUUCCCAGAAGUUCUUAUACAGCCAAGAAAGGUCAAGAAAGAGUUGUCAAUGCUUCAAAAUAAUAAACAGAGACAAAUGAUAAGUAGCAGCUCUUAAAUUCAGCACAAUUUUGGACAAGUUUCCAUGUUAGAGAACAGGAACUAUAGGCCAGAGCAACUACUAAAGAAUUAAUAGGUGAAUGCAAAUCCUCCCCUUG